GAAACGACUGCUAAGACUGGAUAGGAAGUUUUAAGGCAUCUUGAAACUUUUAAAAGACCCGCAAGGGUAUGCUGAGAGAUGGGCUUGCGGCACAUUAGUUAGUUGGUAAGGUAACGGCUUACCAAGACCAUGAUGUGUAGCUGGACUGAGAGGUUGAACGGCCACAUUGGGACUGAGAUACGGCCCAAACUCCUACGGGAGGCAGCAGUAAGGAAUUUUCGGCAAUGGAGGAAACUCUGACCGAGCAACGCCGCGUGAACGAUGAAGUAUUUAGGUAUGUAAAGUUCUUUUAUUAAAGAAGAAAAAAUGAUGGAAAAAUCAUUCUGACGGUAUUUAAUGAAUAAGCCCCGGCUAACUAUGUGCCAGCAGCUGCGGUAAUACAUGGGGGGCAAGCGUUAUCCGGAUUUAUUGGGCGUAAAGGGUGCGUAGGCGGUUUAAUAAGUCUAUGGUCUAAGUUCAACGCUUAACGUUGUGAUGCUAUAGAAACUGUUUGACUAGAGUUGGAUAGAGGCAAGUGGAAUUCCAUGUGUAGCGGUAAAAUGCGUAAAGAUAUGGAGGAACACCAGUAGCGAAGGCGGCUUGCUGGGUCUUAACUGACGCUGAGGCACGAAAGCGUGGGGAGCAAACAGGAUUAGAUACCCUGGUAGUCCACGCCGUAAACGAUGAGUACUAAGUGUUGGGUUAAACCAGUGCUGAAGUUAACGCAUUAAGUACUCCGCCUGAGUAGUACGUACGCAAGUAUGAAACUUAAAGGAAUUGACGGGACUCCGCACAAGCGGUGGAUCAUGUUGUUUAAUUCGAAGAUACACGAAAAACCUUACCAGGUCUUGACAUACUCUGCAAAGCUAUAGAAAUAUAGUGGAGGUUAUCAGGGAUACAGGUGGUGCAUGGUUGUCGUCAGCUCGUGUCGUGAGAUGUUGGGUUAAGUCCCGCAACGAGCGCAACCCUUAUCGCUAGUUACCAUCAUUUAGUUGGGCACUUUAGUGAGACUGCCAAUGAUAAAUUGGAGGAAGGUGGGGAUUACGUCAAAUCAUCAUGCCCCUUAUGACCUGGGCUACAAACGUGAUACAAUGGCUGUUACAAAGAGUAGCUGAAGCGUGAGUUUUUAGCAAAUCUCAAAAAAACAGUCUCAGUUCGGAUUGAAGUCUGCAACUCGACUUCAUGAAGUCGGAAUCGCUAGUAAUCGCGAAUCAGCAUGUCGUGGUGAAUACGUUCACGGGGUUUGUACACACCGCCCGUCA
RNAcentral lists this ribosomal RNA (1241 nucleotides) under Candidatus Phytoplasma pyri. RNAcentral describes it as "bacterial SSU rRNA". It matches the Rfam family "Bacterial small subunit ribosomal RNA", at positions 153 to 1399 of the family's 1533-position model. The record is from RNAcentral. Lineage: Bacteria; Bacillati; Mycoplasmatota; Mollicutes; Acholeplasmatales; Acholeplasmataceae.